Molecule: long non-coding RNA, 702 nt
Organism: Neopsephotus bourkii (Bourke's parrot)
Lineage: Eukaryota; Metazoa; Chordata; Aves; Psittaciformes; Psittacidae
Exons: 3
Source: RefSeq, a predicted model, not a curated record
AAUAAAAAUCGAAUCAGGUCUGUAAGGCCCCCGCAACGAGGGCAAUUAGGAGCCGUCUACAGCCCAUCUGUCUACACCCCGGCACCGCUGCCACCCCGGAGCAAAGCGGAGCGGUCACCAGGGGCCCGUCGGGGGGCAGCCCCUUCCUCUCCCGUCCCCUCCGCGCCGCCGCAGGGCAUUAGUUCGGGCUGGCCCCAGCGCCGCGGCGCGCUCCGUGCCGCCCGGCGUAACCCGACCCACUCCCGGCCGGGAAACGGGGACGGAAUCGUCGCGAUGCCGCUACCCGCCGGCCAGACUGCUGGAGCUGGUUAGCACCUUCCCCUGGCAUCAGGGACAUGGCCGCAGCCCAGCCUCCUCGGCGGGAGGGCAGGUGAGGGGAUGAGUACCCAGGGCUUAACUUGAAGCCAGGCUUAGGAUCUUCUGCACUUUUGAGCAGUCUGCAUGAAGGGUGGCCUAUACCAGCUUAAAAGGCAUAUGGUGUGGAAACUGAAGGAAGCAGAAUUAAAGUCUUGGAGUUGAGUGACUAUCAGACAGACAUUGGCCAAGUUUUGGAUGUGUAAUUCUCCAACCUCUGCCAUUCAUAUUACUUUGUCUACCAGUGUUUUCUGGACUAAGUGACCUAGUCACAAAAUUGCUCUAAUUGUGGAAACAUUUGGCUACAAGAGCUACAGGAAGCUAUUCAAAGGCACUUCAUUUUUUGCC